GUGUCAGCCGCCGCGGUAAUACGAAGGGGGCUAGCGUUGCUCGGAAUCACUGGGCGUAAAGGGUGCGUAGGCGGGUCUUUAAGUCAGGGGUGAAAUCCUGGAGCUCAACUCCAGAACUGCCUUUGAUACUGAAGAUCUUGAGUUCGGGAGAGGUGAGUGGAACUGCGAGUGUAGAGGUGAAAUUCGUAGAUAUUCGCAAGAACACCAGUGGCGAAGGCGGCUCACUGGCCCGAUACUGACGCUGAGGCACGAAAGCGUGGGGAGCAAACAGGAUUAGAAACCCCCGUAGUCC
Molecule: ribosomal RNA, 292 nt
Filed under: uncultured bacterium
Lineage: Bacteria
Description: partial 16S ribosomal RNA
Rfam family: Bacterial small subunit ribosomal RNA
Source: RNAcentral